Tyto alba (common barn owl) is the source of this 1763-nucleotide long non-coding RNA. RefSeq lists it as uncharacterized. The transcript has 3 exons. Lineage: Eukaryota; Metazoa; Chordata; Aves; Strigiformes; Tytonidae. The record is from RefSeq and is a predicted model, not a curated record.
GGAGGAAAGCUGCGAUCAGGAAGUGGAGAAACAAGUGGUGUCUGUGGCUUUAGCUCGAGGAUGAAGUUACUUGCUCUUCCCUUACCUCUUCUACAGAAGUGACCGAUGAGUGACAGCGGCUCCCUGGGACACUGGGCAGGAUUAGGCUUGAAUGCACCCAGGAACUUCUCUGCGCUCAGGACGGUUGUACGACUGAAGGUUGAGCACCCCUGGGAGGCCGUGUACUGGCGUGGUGCUGUUCCUGGUUUUGCCACACACGCAGAGGGGUUCCUUUUUUCAUUUUGGAGACACCUCUGCUACACCGAGUGUUGAAACUCCUCUGAAGGCUCUUGCCUGGUUCACUGAACUUUCUCAAAACGAGGCGAUGAGGACAUUGGUUUGAAGGGUUAUAACCAUCUCCGGUCAAACGGCUGAACGGUCUCCUAGCGCAGCGCUGCUCACGCAAAACACAGAACCACGGGCUGCCUACACUGGAAACCCAGCUGUCGUCUUUGGGGAAUAAUUUGAGGGACGAAACAAUAUGAAAGAAAAGCGAGACCUUGGCCUUUUCCGAAGCAGUUCGGCCACGCGUGACAGGCCGGUGUUCGCUGGCGCGGUGCCUGGGCAGGUGCUGCCGGGGGCAUCCCUGCCCCUGGCCCUGGGGCAGCGACAGCCCCUCCGCCUGCCCGCGAAGCCCCUUUCUUCCCAAACUCCCGAGCUCACAGGGAAAGCCCCAGAGCGGCUCCAGCCGCGCCCGCCCAGCCCCUCGGGAGGCGAAGGGGCCGCGGCUUCUGCUCCCAGCUCCGGCAGCACGGAAACCGGCCGCCUCCCCGGGCGAGCAGCACAGAAGAGCAGGUGAAACAAGGCCACAAAAGAAUGGUAUAUUACAGAUUUACAAACACAGAGAGAAUCUUUCAGACUGAACUGUAGAUAACCUGGCUCUGUGAAGAAACUUCACCACGUCUCAGGAUGGCGAGUUCAGUUUAGUUUCCUUCCACCUCCCCCCAACCCUUUGGCUUCCGUGACAGUAUUGUGUCUACUAUAUGUUUUACUGGACAUAUCACAUUAAAUCUUUAUUGCCCUCAAAUCCAUUUACCUAUCUCAGAUAAGUAAAUGUAACCUUGUAAAACAGCUAUUAUUGAAAAUAUUAGCUUUAAAAACAUUAUCUUAUUUGUGUUUACAAAGAAAUAUAGGAGUCACAUUUUCCACAGAGUCCAUCUACAGUAUUAGUAUUUUACUGUUAUAAUGCUCAGUAGCCUGUAGCAAUAACAAACUAGUGGCUAUUAAUGCUAAUGCAGUGUUCUCAUAGAAUAACUGUGUUCCUGCACUUUUACUGUAUUACAGACAAAUCUACAACAAAAAAAAGAUCAACUUUUUUCUCCAAACAAAAAAAAUGAAUGAUUACAAUAAAGGAAAGGGAAAAAUUAAAUAGCUACAUAUCAUUAACAAAUUAAUUGUUCCUCAAAAAAUACCUACAAAUUUCUCUGUACAUUCUUUACGCACAGCGUAACGAUGGUCUUAAAGUUACCUAUAUAAAAAAGUGUUCUUUUAACAAUCGUCCUACAGAGAGUAGGGUACUGAAUGCCAAAGCAAGUAAGCGUUGACUACCCAGUAAGAUGGUAGUGAAAUGUGUAAAACUGGGGGCUUAGGUGUCGUUUUUUUUUUUUUAAUUUUUGAAAGAAAAUUGAGCAGCCACCUUCUCAACAAGAGCAAGAGCCAAUCUCCCGAUCUCUUUCUACCCUGCACCUUUUCCAAAUUAAAUAGCUUAACUUUAAAAAAAAAAA